GAAGAAGAGUACCUAAUCGGGAUUUUGGAUUUUCCAGAAUCCGGUGAACAUUCUGGUGAGGGAUGUGUUUUCCUGCAAGGUAUUCCCAAAUUCUGGCAACCUGCAAAUUUCUCAAACGGCUCCAAAUUUCAUACUCAAGGAAAAUGUAGAAGUAAAGGGGUGGUGACCUGAAGCAGUGAAGAAACGCUUCAAUGGUGGUGGAAAUCGCAGAUGGAUGUGACUCGGUUACUCAAAGUUUCUUCAUCAUAAAGAAGCUUUGUUUUCAGUUCUCUUUUCUUAUUUUGGUAAAAUUUGUGGUUGUAAAUUAUGUAUUAUCUCUUAGGCUUUAUAGUGCAAGAUUUUGUUAGAACUUCAAGUGCGUGGAGUAUGUACAGUGUGUGAGAUUUUUGGUGAGAAUUGAGAAAAAAUCAUUUGAAGUCUGUUGCAAAUGUGUGUGGAUUAGGAUGACGGAUUUGUGUGUCUAUAUAUGAGAGAGAGAGAGAGAGGAUUAUGUGGGAUUUGGAUAAGAAUAGUGUGAGGAGUGAGGAGAAAUUCGUGUGAGUUUGUUGUAAAUUUGUGUGAAUGUGUGAAGGCGAUGAAAGAGAGAUCAUUAUGAGCAUGUGAAGGUGGGAUUCCCUAGUCUAAACCAUGUGAAUUAAUUUGUUGUAAAAUUCAUGUGUAAUAGUGAUAUAUGUACAUGAUGGAAUGAAAUGUUUCAUUGACUUUUAUUUGACUUUUGGUGUACGUAUGUGACGAAUGGUAUGAUGUAAUGUAUUAUGUAUGUGACAAUCAAUAAAAUGUAAUAUUUUGUA
Molecule: long non-coding RNA, 791 nt
Organism: Lathyrus oleraceus (garden pea)
Lineage: Eukaryota; Viridiplantae; Streptophyta; Magnoliopsida; Fabales; Fabaceae
Exons: 2
Source: RefSeq, a predicted model, not a curated record